GAGAUCUACAUGCUUCUCCCUCGUCGGGUUAGUCACCUCUCUGUGAUUUUAGAGCAAAAUUUGUGCUCCUCUCUCCCUCUUUACUCCAUCUAUUUUUUGUCCGUGAUUCUAGGGCAAGCACGUCUCUUCAUUUCUCUGUAAUUUUAGGGCAAACAUAGACAUUUGGGAAACUAGCAUAUGUCCCUGCGUCUAGAUCUGCAUCUCACGAGGUAAGUAUAAUUGUUAAUCUACAUCUACGUCUAUAAGGGCUUAAUGGUUGGCUAGAAACAGAGGUAGGCAUAUCGGAAACUCAACUCAAUAAUCGUGUGGACUAUGUUCUAUGUCUUAAGUAAACAUAUCUAAUUGUGUGGUCUUUAAGGUUAAGAAAACGUAAGGUUUGGUUUCCUUCUUAGAGACUGGUUUCAUGAAAUGACUUUCCUUCAAAAAAAGGCUACCCUUAGUCUCUAAGAGAGGUGUUUGCCGAAUUGCCGCAGUGUGAGGACUAAAGAAAAGUCAUCGAAUUCCAUAGAGAUGAAGAUACAAUGUGAUGCAAAUAGGUCCUUCAAUGGAGAAGCUGAAUCUGUGUUGUUUUCAUUUAAUUGUUAUUGUGGAGUAGUUGAUAGUAAUAUAAUUUGCAAUUUGUAGCUUUUUGUAAUACUCUUUCUUGGCAUGGGUUUUAUGUUCUAGCCCGUGUUUGCCACUGUAUGCCAAAACAUAAUAUUUGUGUGAUUGACAAGCAAAUGUAAUGGUUGGAGACUCCAUAUUAGAUUUUGAUGCUUGCUAGUUGUUGGUUGUUCACUUUAUUUUUUGUCUGACCAUGAUUUGUUGUUCAGUCAAAAAAAAGAAAAAAUUUGUU
This is a long non-coding RNA of Juglans microcarpa x Juglans regia, 835 nucleotides long. RefSeq lists it as uncharacterized. Lineage: Eukaryota; Viridiplantae; Streptophyta; Magnoliopsida; Fagales; Juglandaceae. The record is from RefSeq and is a predicted model, not a curated record. The transcript is spliced from 2 exons.